AGCAUAUCAAUAAGCGGAGGAAAAGAAACCAACAGGGAUUGCUCUAGUAACGGCGAGUGAAGCAGCAAUAGCUCAAAUUUGAAAUCUGGCGUCUUCGACGUCCGAGUUGUAAUUUGUAGAGGAUGCUUCUGAGUGGCCACCGACCUAAGUUCCUUGGAACAGGACGUCAUAGAGGGUGAGAAUCCCGUAUGCGGUCGGAAAGGCGCUCUAUACGUAGCUCCUUCGACGAGUCGAGUUGUUUGGGAAUGCAGCUCUAAAUGGGAGGUAAAUUUCUUCUAAAGCUAAAUAUUGGCCAGAGACCGAUAGCGCACAAGUAGAGUGAUCGAAAGAUGAAAAGCACUUUGGAAAGAGAGUUAAAAAGCACGUGAAAUUGUUAAAAGGGAAGGGAUUGCAACCAGACUUGC
Molecule: ribosomal RNA, 404 nt
Filed under: Minutocellus polymorphus
Lineage: Eukaryota; Bacillariophyta; Thalassiosirophyceae; Cymatosirales; Cymatosiraceae
Description: partial Eukaryotic large subunit ribosomal RNA
Rfam family: Eukaryotic large subunit ribosomal RNA
Source: RNAcentral